UCUGUGCACAAUUUUCUCUCUCUCCCUUUCCCCCCAGCUACGGCACUCACUUCCUAACUUCAAGAGGAGAGCAGCUGCGCAGGAUAUCAAGGUCGUAUGAUAUUGGUGAAGACGUGGCUGAGAUCAAGGCAGGAAUUAAGAGUUGAAAACAGUACUCUGAAGUUGAUGAUUGGACAGCCAGGUGGAUAGAAACCUAAUUCCCACCUCACAGUUGUUUGUGAGUUUCUGAACUUUAUACUAAGGUGUGAUGAGGUGGGCAGGGUUCCUGCCUCUCCGUAUUCAGUGGUGCUGAUUAGACAUUGUUGUUGCUGUUGUUGCUCAAAGCAAGUCCUGUGGAAUUCCAAUUCACACCCCUUCAAGGACUGCACUUUUGGACAACUUUUUGCAUGGUCAUAAAAUGGCUAGAUCAUGAACCGCUUAUGUUAUGCAUUCAUGGAACACACUCCAAACUUCUAAGCACUUCUGAAUUUACAACUUCUGAUUUUACAAUGCAUCUGAAAACUUCCGAUUUUACAAUGCAUAUGACACCAAACAUGACCUAGUUAUUGAGUUCCUUGUGCCUUUGAGAAAAUCAAGGGGAUCACACAUUCAUGGAGCAUGCAACUGUCACACCAACAACACAGAAUAUGAAAAAAAAAGAGAGAUUAUGAAUAUCCUGAGCAAAUUUUAGAUUUGAUUUGUUUGAUAGAAAAGUGUUUCCUGACACCAGAGGUUUGGAUGACUUUCUGUCCUAUCCCUUUCCUGGAGAGACAGCCUCAGUGGUCUUUCAGAUAACCUCAUGUGGGCUUCAAAGGGUAAUUAUGACCAUACCAGGCAGGCAGAAAGUGGAGUUUAUGUAAACAAGAAGGGUCCAACCUAACCCUUGGUCAAUGUGUUUUGGUUACAAAGGGAAGGUCAUUAAGUUAUGAGUGGGGAAAUUAAAAAAGUCAUACCACAAACUCCAUAUGAUUGGUGUGAGGAAUGAUUUGAGCCAGUUGUUUGGAUUUGUUACUUUACUGUCUCAUACCUAAUUUGCAUAAAGUUGGAAACAAUUAUGUACACAGAUAAAUUGGAACAUUGGAAAAAGAUUAUCUGAUUGAGGGCAAUCCAAAUAAAAUGUCUAACUGAUUGAAUGAGGUGGUUAAUGGGUUUAAUAAUUUACUAGGUACAAGAAUAAUUAUCAACAUGCAUUCACACCCAACUGGGUCCCUGGGGGUCUAGCGGUUAGGCCACAGUGCUCUCACUGCUGCAGCCUGGGUUCAAUUCCCAGAAACUGGGGUUACAUGCAACAGUGUGCUCUCAGUGCUGGUCCCAAGCCUGGAUAAAAUUGGGGAGGGUUGCAUCAGGAAGGGCAUCCAGCAUAAAAA
Long non-coding RNA from Pangasianodon hypophthalmus (striped catfish), 1346 nucleotides. RefSeq lists it as uncharacterized. The transcript has 2 exons. Lineage: Eukaryota; Metazoa; Chordata; Actinopteri; Siluriformes; Pangasiidae. The record is from RefSeq and is a predicted model, not a curated record.